RNAcentral lists this ribosomal RNA (517 nucleotides) under uncultured bacterium. RNAcentral describes it as "bacterial SSU rRNA". It matches the Rfam family "Bacterial small subunit ribosomal RNA", at positions 32 to 518 of the family's 1533-position model. The record is from RNAcentral.
ACGACGCUGGCGGCGUGCCUAAUACAUGCAAGUCGAACGGUCUUUUCUAUGGAAGCUUGCUUCCACUGAGAAGAUAGUGGCGAACGGGUGAGUAACACGUGGGUAACCUGCCCAUAAGAGGGGGGAUAACAUCCGGAAACGGGUGCUAAUACCGCAUAGUUUUCUUGAUCGCAUGAUCGGGAAAGGAAAGACGGCCUUUGUGCUGUCGCUUAUGGACGGACCCGCGGCGUAUUAGUUAGUUGGUGAGGUAACGGCUCACCAAGACGAUGAUACGUAGCCGACCUGAGAGGGUGAUCGGCCACAUUGGGACUGAGACACGGCCCAAACUCCUACGGGAGGCAGCAGUAGGGAAUCUUCCGCAAUGGACGAAAGUCUGACGGAGCAACGCCGCGUGAGUGAAGAAAGGUUUUCGGAUCGUAAAACUCUGUUGUCAGAGAAGAACAAGUUGGAGAGUAACUGCUCCAGCCUUGACGGUAUCUGACCAGAAAGCCACGGCUAACUACGUGCCAGCAGCGGC